Molecule: ribosomal RNA, 501 nt
Filed under: uncultured Glomus
Lineage: Eukaryota; Fungi; Glomeromycota; Glomeromycetes; Glomerales; Glomeraceae
Description: SSU rRNA
Rfam family: Eukaryotic small subunit ribosomal RNA
Source: RNAcentral
AGCAGCCGCGGUAAUUCCAGCUCCAAUAGCGUAUAUUAAAGUUGUUGCAGUUAAAAAGCUCGUAGUUGAAUUUCGGGAUCAAUAUGUUGGUCGUGCCUCGGUACGUACUAGCUUAUUGGUUUCUCCUUUCUGAAGAACCAUGAUGUCAUUUAUUUGGUGUCGUGGGGAAUCAGGACUGUUACUUUGAAAAAUUAGAGUGUUUAAAGCAGGCUCACGCUUGAAUACAUUAGCAUGGAAUAAUGAAAUAGGACGUUUGAUUCUAUUUUGUUGGUUUCUAGGAUCGACGUAAUGAUUAAUAGGGAUAGUUGGGGGCAUUAGUAUUCAAUUGUCAGAGGUGAAAUUCUUGGAUUUAUUGAAGACUAACUACUGCGAAAGCAUUUGCCAAGGAUGUUUUCAUUAAUCAAGAACGAAAGUUAGGGGAUCGAAGACGAUCAGAUACCGUCGUAGUCUUAACCAUAAACUAUGCCGACUAGGGAUCGGAUGAUGUUAAUUUUUAAUGUA